This 434-nucleotide ribosomal RNA is filed under the name uncultured Pseudoflavonifractor sp. Its description in RNAcentral is "partial 16S ribosomal RNA". It matches the Rfam family "Bacterial small subunit ribosomal RNA", at positions 341 to 792 of the family's 1533-position model. The record is from RNAcentral. Lineage: Bacteria; Bacillati; Bacillota; Clostridia; Eubacteriales; Oscillospiraceae.
ACGGAAGGCAGCAGUGGGGAAUAUUGGGCAAUGGGCGAAAGCCUGACCCAGCGACGCCGCGUGAGGGAAGACGGUCUUCGGAUUGUAAACCUCUUUCAGCAGGGAAGAUAAUGACGGUACCUGCAGAAGGAGCCACGGCUAACUACGUGCCAGCAGCCGCGGUAAUACGUAGGUGGCAAGCGUUAUCCGGAUUUAUUGGGUGUAAAGGGUGUGUAGGCGGGACUGCAAGUCAGAAGUGAAAAUCAUGGGCUCAACCCAUGACCUGCUUUUGAAACUGUGGUUCUUGAGAGUGGGAGAGGUAAACGGAAUUCCUGGUGUAGCGGUGAAAUGCGUAGAUAUCAGGAGGAACACCGGUGGCGAAGGCGGUUUACUGGACCAUUACUGACGCUGAGACACGAAAGCGUGGGGAGCAAACAGGAUUAGAUACCCUGGUA